GAAGCUUUUUGCCCUAAGACAGCUGGGUGUCAACCCAGUCAUGCUAUCUUCCAGGCUGGAGUGUGUGAGUGAGGACAAAUAUUAGUUCUAUAACCAGCCUCUAUCGACCGCUAAUAUAUUGUGUGUUAUCAUCAUUUCAUUCAGAGCAACCCCUCUCUGGAGCUCAGCUCUUCAAAUUUGGGAGAUUUACUGUUUAACUAUUGUCCUUAAUGGAAAAACAACCACUUGGCAACUUGGCUGCUUCAUGAGUCGAAUCAAUCCAACGGGUACUAUAUGUAACUUUGAUUUUAGUAAUUUAUUUUCCUCUGGUGCACUGCUAUGAUGGAGGGAAAAUAUUUAGAUUUUAAGAAUAAAGACAUUGUACUGUAUAAAUGUUACAAGAAUAAAGUCAUGGGAAAGUCAUCCUUUUGGUAAACAGUUGACCUGUUCCAAAGCCAGCUCAGUACUAUGUUGAACUUUUUUAAAGUUGUGUUAAAUGUAGUAAACAUGUAGUUUUAGAAAGGUCACCCCUUUAAUUCAGACAGAGAAGUUUUCAAGCCAGACAGGCUUUUAGCUGUCCAACAAACAGCUACAACCGACUAACCUGACAGUAGACUCAGCUCCUUAUUCUGGCUACUUUUGUGUCUCUUACCUUUUAUUAACCAUAAUAGAUGAGUUGUAACAAAAAAUUCAUCAGUGGCUUGCACAUCAUAGAUCUAAUUAAGUGAUUGCGAUGCAUGUUAAAGAGCCAUAUGUGUCUUGCACACCUAAAUAGUCCAAAAACACACAAACUUUCUGAUGAAAUAGUGCUAAAAAACAUUUAGCCCAAUGACAAAGUAGACCUUGACCACUUUCAGAUAACUGUGGCCUAGCUUGUAUGCCGGUGAAAAAGGACCUUGUUAUAAAACCAGUUCUUCUGGCAGUUUCAAGUUACAGGGUCUGAGCUGACCUGCACCCAGUGUGGCCAAUACACCCACUAGUAUGUAGUUCAUACAAUCCCACAUCAGAAUUACUGAAAUGGCCCUUUAGCCAGACUGUAAACAUGUAAAGUUGGACAUGUCAGCAUGAUACUAAAAAGGGUUCCUUGGCUCUUACAGACAGCUUCAAAUGGACACUUGAGGGGCUGCAGUUUAUUUUACACUUUCACUCAUAGAUUUCGUUUCCAACUCCAGAGGAUGCUGCAGAAGACUUGUAGAGAUAUGUCAGUCUUAUGAAAGUCAGCUCUAAGUGUACGUAAGCAAUAUGAGCCAAUUCCCAUCAGUAUCUGUUUCCUCUUCUUUUAAUUUUUGUUAUUUGAUGUACAGAUAAAUAAAGAAGGGGAUCCUUUCUACACACC
Xyrichtys novacula (pearly razorfish) is the source of this 1315-nucleotide non-coding RNA. The record is from the annotation of a GenBank genome assembly. NCBI's taxonomy places the organism in Eukaryota, Metazoa, Chordata, Actinopteri, Labriformes, Labridae.